AUAGAGAAACAUCAGUCCGGUGCCCAGAAGCGCAAGAGAAAACAAAAAGAACAAAAUUCAAUUAUUAAAUCUUAUAAAGGUGGUAUGGACAAGUUUAUUAGAAAAGAAGCAUCACAAGCGUCAUCCGGAAAUCAGUCUCAGUCUGUUGAUCCUUCUACCCUCUUGCACGGAAUUGUUCCUUACAAUGAUUCUAGAGAUGGUCAGACGGAGACAGAUAAUAUUGAGGUAGAGGACGAUCAUAUUGAUGUUAACUUGAAUAGUUCACCUCGUGCAUAUGUUGAUAAUUCUUUUUAGUCUGAUAUAUUUGAUCCGAGAAUACGGGAUUCUCUUGAUUCUAAACAUAUUGAUAUCUUAACAAAGGGUCCGAGAAGAGACUCAUUAAUUACGAAAGGUCCUAAAGAUAGAUAUUGUAAAAGGUUUAUUGUAGUAUUCUAUACUAGAUUUCUAUCAAAUGGGGAGAAUUGUGAUAGAGAUUGACUUGUCUAUUCUAAGGAACUCGAUAGAGUCUUUUGCUUUGGAUGUAAAUUAUUUAAAAAAGGUCAUCGGAAAGGUCAGCUGGAAAAUGAGGGUUGUAAUGAUUGGUCACAUAUGAGUAUGGCCAAUAGACUAAAAGAUCACGAGACAAGUGUGGAUCAUGUUUUGAGUAUGGCUAAUUGGUAUGAGUUGCGUAAUAGAUUGAAAAACCGAACUAUUGAUAAGGCUUCUCAACGACAACUUAAGAAAGAGAAGGCCCAUUGGAGAAAGGUAUUCUGAAUUGUUUGCAUUGUAACAUUUCUAGCCAAGCAUAAUCUGGCUUUCCCUGGUAUUAAUGCCAAGUUAUAUGAAGAUAGCAAUGGUAAUUUCUUGGGUUUGGUAGAAAUGUUGGCUGAAUUUGACCUUGUUAUUCAGGAGCAUGUUCGACGUAUUACAAAUGACGAAAAUCAUGCUCAAUAUGUUAAUCAUAAGAUUCAGAAUGAAUUUCCACAGUUGCUUGCUUCUUCUAUUAAGUCUGACAUUAUCAAGAAAAUAAGGAGUUCAAAGUAUUUCAUCAUACUUGAUUGUACCCCUGAUGCAAGUCGCCAAGAGCAAAUGUCUUUAAUUCAAAGAUAUCUGGAUUCAUCUUCAAAUCAGGUUUGCAUAUAAGAAUCCUUUCUAUGAUAUCUGGAUGUAAAUGAUACAACUAGACAAAGACUUUCUGAUGUCCUAGAGAAUGAGCUAAACUUCUUGAUCUUGAUAAGACAUGUGAGAGGACAAGGUUAUGAUAAUGGGUAAAAUACGAAAUGAAGGCAUCAAGGGGUACAAAAGAAACUUUUGUGUGUAAAUCCUAGAGCCUUUUAUUCUGAUUGUGGUUUUCAUAGCCUUAAUUUGACACUUUGUGAUGUGGACAAGACUUGUGGUAGAGCAAAAGACCUUUUUGGAAUCAUCAAACACAUCUAUAUUUUUGUGAAUUCUACGAAGAAAUGACAUGUUUUGAAAGAAAACAUAUCAGGAUUGACUCUCAAGUCUGUGUCAACUAUGCGUUGGGAGAGUCGUGUUGAAAGUGUUAAAGCUAUUAGAUUUCAGUGUUCAGACAUUCGCGAGGCUCUACUUUAGGUAUCUAAAACUAAUAGUGAUCCAGGGACAAGAAGUGAGGCUCUAGUUUGGCAAAAAAAUGAACUUGGAGAGCACGAAUUUGUCGUGGCAAUAAUCAGUUGGUAUGAGGUUGUUAAUUUAGUAAGCAAAAACUUGCAAGCAAAUGAUAUGCUUAGUAAUGUUGCUAUUGAGAAAGUGAAAGGGCUUAUUUCUUUCUUCCAGGGGUAGAGUGAAGCUGGUUUCUUAGAAGCAUUGGAGAUAUCCAAAGAAAUUGCACUUGGGAUGGAUAACUGUGCAACAUUUCAUGAAAGCAGAGAAAUUAAGAGGAAGAAAGAUUUUGAUGUGAAACCAAACGGCACAAAUAGUGCCACACAGUUUGUAGAGGAAUAAUUUAGAAUCAACUAUUUUAUACCUCUUGUUAAUCAAGCAAUUUCCUCACUCACAAGGACAUUCGAGCAAUAUCAGGGUUACCAAAAAAUUGGUUUCUUAUUAACCUCUGAAACAUUGUGCUCAUUGGAUAAGGAUAGUUUGAAAUCUUCUUCUGUUAAUCUUGAGGCUGCCCUUAUGAAGGAUAAAAAAUCUGAUAUUGAUGCCAAUGAUCUGUUUGUUGAGUUGAAGUUUCUUCGAAAUUUCAUGCCAAAAGAAAAUAUUAAACCUAUUGAAAUUCUGUUUUUUAAGUGCCAUGAUUUUUUUCCCAAUGCAAGUAUUGCAUAUCGAGGUCUAUUGACCAUUCCUGUGAUGGUUGCAUCGGCAGAACGAAGCUUUUCUAAACAGAAGCUAUUGAAGUCCUAUAUGCGUACUACUACGACACAACAAACACUCAAUGAUCUGGCCACAAUAGAACUUGGGAGCGAAGUGUUUGAUAAGAUUUAUGAGGAUAACGUUGAAGAAUUCAUUUCAAAGAAUACUAAAAGAAUGAUGUUGUUCAAAUAA
This 2484-nucleotide ribosomal RNA is filed under the name Triticum aestivum (bread wheat). RNAcentral describes it as "partial small subunit ribosomal RNA". Lineage: Eukaryota; Viridiplantae; Streptophyta; Magnoliopsida; Poales; Poaceae. The record is from RNAcentral.